AGAAUCAACGCUGGCGGCGUGCCUAACACAUGCAAGUCGAACGAGAAAGUGGAGCAAUCCAUGAGUAAAGUGGCGCACGGGUGAGUAACACGUGACUAACCUACCCUUGAGUGGGGGAUAACCUAGGGAAACCUGGGCUAAUACCGCAUAAUACCUUCGGGUCAAAGGAGCAAUUCGCUCAAGGAGGGGUCGCGGCCGAUUAGUUAGUUGGCGGGGUAAUGGCCCACCAAGACUGUGAUCGGUA
This 244-nucleotide ribosomal RNA is filed under the name uncultured bacterium. Its description in RNAcentral is "partial small subunit ribosomal RNA". It matches the Rfam family "Bacterial small subunit ribosomal RNA", at positions 26 to 285 of the family's 1533-position model. The record is from RNAcentral.